CGUUCCCGGGCCUUGUACACACCGCCCGUCACACCACGAAAGUUGGCAAUACCCGAAGCCGGUGGGCUAACCCUUUUGGGAGGCAGCCGUCGAAGGUGGGGUCGAUGAUUGGGGUGA
RNAcentral lists this ribosomal RNA (117 nucleotides) under uncultured bacterium. Its description in RNAcentral is "partial 16S ribosomal RNA". It matches the Rfam family "Bacterial small subunit ribosomal RNA", at positions 1369 to 1483 of the family's 1533-position model. The record is from RNAcentral.